RNAcentral lists this ribosomal RNA (449 nucleotides) under uncultured bacterium. RNAcentral describes it as "partial 16S ribosomal RNA". It matches the Rfam family "Bacterial small subunit ribosomal RNA", at positions 330 to 794 of the family's 1533-position model. The record is from RNAcentral.
UCCAGACUCCUACGGGAGGCAGCAGUGGGGAAUAUUGGGCAAUGGGCGCAAGCCUGACCCAGCAACGCCGCGUGAAGGAAGAAGGCUUUCGGGUUGUAAACUGCUUUUAUAAGCGAGAAAUAUGAUGGUAACUUAUGAAUAAGGAUCGGCUAACUACGUGCCAGCAGCCGCGGUCAUACGUAGGAUCCGAGCAUUAUCCGGAGUGACUGGGUGUAAAGAGUUGCGUAGGUGGCAUAAUAAGUAGCUAGUGAAAUCUGGUGGCUCAACCAUUCAGACUAUUAGCUAAACUGUUAAGCUCGAGACCGUUAGGGGUAACUGGAAUUUCUAGUGUAGGAGUGAAAUCCGUAGAUAUUAGAAGGAACACCAAUAGCGUAGGCAGGUUGCUGGGACGGUUCUGACACUAAGGCACGAAAGCGUAGGGAGCAAACGGGAUUAGAUACCCGCGUACA